Molecule: RNA transcript, 4400 nt
Organism: Daucus carota subsp. sativus
Lineage: Eukaryota; Viridiplantae; Streptophyta; Magnoliopsida; Apiales; Apiaceae
Exons: 12
Source: RefSeq, a predicted model, not a curated record
AUUCUGAAACUCAAACACAUAUACAUACAUACACCUAUACAUACAAUCUCACCAGGUAUAUUCGGUGCUUCGAUUCCCUCCCCUAAAAACACUCUCUCUUCCCUCUUUACCCACAACAAUCUUUAUUUCUUUAUAAAUAAAUAAAAACACACACAUAAUAAAAAUCGAGCAUAGAUUUACAAGCAAUGUUUGGAGCGGACACAACUAUUUCGUGACUCACCUUUUAUUCCAAGUUGUUACUCAAUUCUCGGAUCUGUGUCUUACAUUUCGAUGUCUGAUCACAUUUGUAAAUGGCUGCUUCGGUGGGUAUGCAUUCAUGAAAAAGUGCUGAUGAUGAUGGUAGCAUAAAAUGGGUCGGUGAUUCUCUGUCAAAUGUCAAUAAUUGCGAUCUAGUUUACCUGGGAUGAGUUAUUAUUAGGAUGUAUAGAAGAUUAAGAUAGUAUAUAUAGAGUAGAGCAUGUUUGUUUCUUAGUUUAGCUGGUGGCAUUUUAAUUUUUAAGUUGCUUCUCGAAUAACAAAAAACAAAAAAGAGGCUAGCUCCGGGAGAAGUUGACAGGUGUACUAAAGUUGUAAUUUCAGAAGCUCGGUGAUUAGUUUAAUGGAGGAAAUUGUGGUCCUGCAUGGUUCAAAACAGAACUCACAGUUCUCUGUCCGUAAAUACUUGCCAAGCGGGUCCACCAAAGAUCCUUGGCUUGUUGUCCGUGAAGGGUCGGUGGCUGAUGUAGAUGCCUCAUUAGCACUACUGAAAAAGAAUGGGGGAAAUAUCAACACAAGGAAUGCGUUUGGUCUAACCCUUCUUCAUAUUGCGACUUGGAGAAAUCAUGUUCCAAUAGUGAGGAGGCUACUUGAGGCUGGCGCAGACCCUAAUGCUAGGGAUGGAGAAUCGGGAUGGACAAGCCUUCAUCGAGCUCUGCAUUUUGGUUAUCUUGCAGUGGCGAGUGUCCUUCUCCAGGAGGGUGCAUCUAUCACAUCGGAAGACUUCAAAUCUCGUACACCUGUUGAUCUUCUCUCUGGUCCUGUGCUGCAGACUUUAGGAAAUGAAGAGAAUUCAGUAGCUACAGAAUUGUUUAGCUGGGGAAGUGGUGUUAAUUAUCAACUUGGAACUGGAAACGCACAUAUUCAGAAGUUGCCAUGUAAAGUUGAUUCACUUCAUGGUUCUUUUAUUAAAUUAGUUUCUGCUGCAAAGUUUCAUAGUGUAGCAGUUAGUGCUAAAGGGGAAGUUUAUACUUGGGGGUAUGGAAGAGGAGGGCGGCUUGGGCAUCCGGAUUUUGAUAUCCACAGCGGUCAAGCUGCUGUUAUUACUCCCCGGAAAGUGACUUCUGGUUUAGGGUCCCGUCGAGUUAAGGCAAUUGCAGCAGCUAAACAUCACACUGUUGUUGCAACAGAGGGUGGCGAGGUGUUCACUUGGGGUUCCAAUAGAGAGGGUCAACUUGGUUAUACAUCGGUGGAUAGCCAAGCCACGCCUCGGAGAGUUAGUUCCUUAAAGUCAAAGAUAGUUGCUGUUGCAGCAGCAAACAAACAUACUGCUGUGGUUUCUGAGUCUGGUGAGGUCUUUACAUGGGGCUGCAAUAAAGAUGGCCAACUUGGAUAUGGAACUUCCAAUUCUGGCUGGAAUUACACUCCAAGAGUGGUUGAAUACUUGAAAGGAAAAGUUUUUGUUGGAGUUGCAGCAGCUAAAUAUCACACAAUUGUUUUGGGAGUUGAUGGAGAGGUGUUCACUUGGGGUCAUCGACUUGUUACUCCUAGGCGUGUAGUGAUAGCUAGAAAUAUCAAAAAGAUAGGGAGCACACCAUUAAAGUUUCAUCGCAAGGAACGGCUUCAUGUAGUUUCUAUAGCUGCUGGGAUGGUACAUAGCAUGGCUCUUACAGAUGAUGGUGCAGUAUUUUGUUGGUUGUCAUCAGAUCCUAAUCUACGAUGUCGACAGCUCUAUUCGCUUUGUGGAAGGACUAUGGUCAGUAUAUCUGCCGGGAAGUAUUGGACUGCCGCGGUAACUGCUACUGGUGAUGUAUAUAGGUGGGAUGGCAAGGAUGGGAAGGAUGAGCAACCUGUAGCAACGCGGUUACAUGGUGCAAAAAAAGCAUCUUCAGUUUCUGUCGGCGAGACGCAUCUUUUAUUUAUCAGUUCUCUCUAUCAUCCUACUUACCCUCCCAGUGUUCUCCAUCAUUCUCAAAAUCUCAAACUAAAGGUUGACGAUGAAUUGGAAGAAUUAGAGGUAAAUUUUGUUUAUGAUGAUGCGGAAACCGAUAAUGCCCUAUUUACCAUACAAGAGGAGAACACGGGAACCUUACCUGUUCCGAGUUUGAAAAGCCUAUGUGAGAAAGUGGCAGCAGAGUUUUUGGUGGAGCCGCAUAGUGCAAUCCAACUUCUUGAGAUCGCAGAUUCGCUUGGAGCAGAUGAUCUGAGGAAGCACUGUGAGGAUAUUGUAAUCCGCAACCUUGAUUAUAUACUCACGGUCUCAACACAUGCUGUUGCUACUGCUUCAUUAGAUAUCUUAGCUUCCCUUGAGAAAUCACGGGAUUUAAAGUCAUCAGAAUUAUGGAGUUACCGGCGGCUACCAACACCCACAGCUACUUUUCCUGCUGUAAUCAACAGUGAGGAAGAGGAUAAUGAGGAUGGUUUUAUAAGGACUUCCGACAACCACAACAAAUUGUUAACCUCGAUGAAAGAUAAAUACCAGAGACUAGACAACUUUCUUCAUCCCGAUGAAGAUGUAAAUCAAGGCAUUUGUCGACAAGUACGAGCUCUGAGAAAGAAGUUGCAGCAGAUUGAAAUCCUUGAGGAGAAGCAGGCAAAUGGAUUUCACCUGGAUAACCAGCAGAUUGCGAAGAUCCAAACAAGGUCUUCAUUGGAGAGCUCACUUGCUGAACUUGGUUCACCAGUUAGUAGUAUCACAACAAAAGCAGCAUCUCCAAUCAACUCAGAUGGGAAAGCCAAUAAAAAGGUGGAGGCAUCUAGAAAACAAAGGAGGAAAAGUAAACAUAAGGUAACAGAGGCGGAGGUGAUGUCUGGCAAUGAUGAGAUCCAUGUUGAAGCGAAUCCUGUCAAGGGUUUCUCCCCUCUUGAUAUAUCUUGGUUGAAACAGAAGGAGGAUGCCGUGCUUGAAGUAAGUGUCACUAAGCAAGUCAAUAACGAAGAAAGCUUCAUUCAAAAAGGUUUUGAUAAUAUGCCAAGUAAAAUUUCUUCACCUGCCGCUUCAAAAAAGAAAAAGAAGAAGGGUGGCCUUUCAAUGUUUCUAAGUGGAGCUCUUGAUGAUUCUCCCAAAGUUGCGGUUCCUUCACCACCAACUCCCAAAGUUGAGGGCCCUGCGUGGGGCGGUAAUAAAAUAUCAAAGGGGCGCACCUCUCUUCGUGAUAUACAGGAUGAACAGAGUAAAACUAUGGAAUAUAAGACUACUAGGAACAAAGAUCAAGUAGAUGAACAUAGUAAAACUAAGGAAUAUAAGCCUUUUAGGAACAAAGAUCAAGUAGAGGAUCCUUUGGAUGGUAAAAGUGGGGGAAAAGUGUUACUGAGCUCAUUCUUGCCUUCCACUCCGAUACCUAUGGUUUCCCCUGGUGCAGCAUCUCAGGUACCUGACGGUGAAAGAGGAACCCCUCCUUGGGCUUCUUCGGGGACCCCACCUCUUAUGUCUCGCCCAUCUCUGAGGGACAUCCAAUGGCAACAGCAUGGAAAACAACAGCAAAGUCUGGCCCACAGUCCAAAGACAAGAACUACUGGGUUUUCGGUAAAUACUAGCCCAACAUGCCCAUCAGAUUCCGCAGUUUCUAAUAAGUGGUUCAAGCCAGAGGUUGAUGUACCCUCAUCGAUCCGCUCAAUUCAAAUCGAAGAGAGGGCUAUGAAAGACCUUAAACGCUUCUACAGCAAUGUCAAACUUGUUAAGAACCAGUCUUGAGAGACUGUUCCAAUUUAAAAUUGAUGGAUGGUAUACUUUUUCCGGUAUACAUUCUCUUUCCUAACUUCCUGUUGUAAAUUGACAGAUUUCAUGCAUCCACCUUUUUUUAACUUUACAAGGUCCUCGUAAUUGUUCUUCACAGGUGAGAAGAAUGUGGAAGAAUGACGAGGAUGUGUUUAUAGUGAAUAAGAAAGGAUUUAGUGGGCAAUUAGCCACAAAACCUUCCAAUUGUAUAUAUUUAGAAAGUUAGUGAAUAAAAAGGGUUUGUAGUUUGGACCCAUAAAGAAGAACCAAAUAAUGCAUGUCCCCAGUAAAAGAGAAAGUGGGUAGGGACUGCAAAGUGAUUAGAACGUUUGUUGAAAUAUAUGGUCAUUGAGAGCCAUAUAAUUUCCAACACUUUAGAAGUGAGAGACAGGACAGGUUUAGUCAAGAAAAUAAUGUAAGCUAUAAUCAUCUCAACUUUUAUUUCUUUAUUUCUUUUCCAUUAAUGUUUAGAUGGGGCUUUCUGAGA